This 2969-nucleotide long non-coding RNA is filed under the name Homo sapiens (human). Its description in RNAcentral is "HSALNT0247912". Lineage: Eukaryota; Metazoa; Chordata; Mammalia; Primates; Hominidae. The record is from RNAcentral.
AAAAUUAGCUGGGCGUGGUGGCGCAUGUCUGUAAUCCCAAUUAUUCAGGAGGCUGAGGCAGGAGAAUCGCUUGAACCCGGGAGGCAGAGAUUGCAGUGAGCUGAGAUUGUGCCACUGCACUCCAGCCUGGGCGGCAAGAGCGAGACUCCGUCUCAAAAAAAAAAAAAAGAAGUAAUGAUGUGCCCAGCUGAAGAGCAUCCAAAUGCACCGGAGCUCCCAAUGCCCUCCUAGCACCAGCCAGCGGGCCCCCACGGUGAGUCCCAUCUCAGAGCUCCACAUGCGUCCUUUCAACCACGCACGUCUUCAUCGUCCUGAUGAAUGGCAAAGGAAAGCAAUCCUCCCAAUGAGAAAGAGGAUCCCUUCAGUGUUGGGCCACAAAGCUGGCUCUGACACUCAGUCCUUUGUCACAGUCCCUGAGUCGAGUCCCCUUCCUAGAGAGGCUCUAUGUGGUCACUGAAGUGGAAUGACAGUCAGAGCACACACCUGUGAUCAAAGGAGGGCGGCUGUGCACAGCCAGUGCCGUGGUGUGUGGGGGCUCCGUCUCUGUCUCAGCCUGGGCCCUCGGUGAUGUGGGGCCCUUUGCAACCCCUAAGGCUCCUUGCAGAACAAAGGAGCUACUGAGGCAGCUGGCUGUGCCUGGCACCUCCCUGCCCCCACCCUACCUCCCAUGUGUUUUUUUUUUUUUUAAUUUAAGCAGCUUCAGACUGUCAUUCCAUGUCUGUUGGGUUGAGGAAGGAAAAUUGAAAAUCUCUUUCAAGGAUCUUUAAGAUUAAAAGGCAACUCGGGCUAAAACAGAUGGUCAUCAGUGCUUGAAGCUGCAAUGAAAGAUGAGGAACACAUAUUUGUCAAGAACUUUCUAUACAUCAGAUUAUUUACUCCUAAGGAAGCAGCUGGAGUUUUGCUGUGGACCCUGAGUGUGCCUGAUGGCUAAGAAAGUCAAGCCUGCAGAAGGAGUUCCCAGAAGUAUUUGAUCAGUUUUUUGUUUCCUGUUCAAAUAAUAAGACUAGAUUAACACACAUUCCCCAGGGUGGUGAGGAUUCUUGACCUGCUGCCUUCGUCUGUCUACUUUAUCCCCAAGCUCUGUUUGUGGGCUCAGGGGCUUGGUCCCAGACCGUGGGAAGCCAUGCUGACCAUCAAUUGUUCAUCAUAGAUUUCCCCUGGAGCCCUCCCUGUCUCUCCAGCUCUUCCCAAGGUCUGCUUCUUCUAGGAUCCGGUCCAGUGUGGGCUACCAAUAUCCUCUGGCAUCCAGAACUCAGCCCCGUGAUGAUGCUCUUCCCAAGAAUGUGACCUGAGCCACAACAUUUUACUGACAUGUCCCCUAGAGUCCUCUCUCUCAUUCCAAGAAGAGCUCUGUGGCUUCCCUCCAGUGCUGGGACUGUCUCUAAGAUGAAGGUGGGCAAACUCAUUCACUCAUUUAACAAGCUUUUAGUGAACGCAUGGUAUGUACUGUUCCUAGGCUCAGCUCUUGAAGAGUCUGUGGUAGAUGGAGCUUCACAUUUCAGGUUUCCAAUGGCUCUGAGAGGCUGAACUAUAGGAAUUUCAGAGGGCCAUCUCCUUUAAACAAGAGCCAUUCUGUAACACACCAUUGAGUUCAUUGACCCAUAUUAAGCCAUACCAUAUACAAUAGAGUCUCUGUUCACUGGUCUUUACUUAGCCUAUGUUGUAGAGUAUAUCUUUGCUCCAGAUAGUCACUACCUCCUUUGGGAGAGGAUUGCAUGACCUCUCCCUUUGAGAUCAAGCUUGUCCAAGAGUUGCAGUGCCCCACCACACACCCCACCACCCCGUCCAGCCCCAGGAGAUUAUAUUGUCCCCUCCCUGAAGAAAGACUCAACCAUGUGACUUGCUCUGGCUAGUACAAGGUGAAGUUAAGGCAUGUGCCAGGUCCACAUGGAAGUGGUAAGGGCCAUUGCAUGGUUCCACAUCCCUUUUCCUGUACCAUGAUACUGGCAUGCCCCAGAUAGGGACAGAUCCUUUCACCUGGAUUCUGAAACAACGAGCGGGAGACAUGGAGCUCCAGCCAAAUGGGAAGGGUGCCUGAUGUGGAGGAGAAGCAAAUCUUUGUUCUUGUAAGCCAAUGAAGCUUUGGAGCUAUAUGUCACUGCAGCAUAAACUGAUGAAAGCCGACAGUGCGACAGAAAUGCAUGUGUUGUGUUUACGAGCAACACUACUUGCAUGGAAGACAGUCACGAAUGCUCACAAGCUGAACAUCAUCAGCUCUGCAGCAGCUCUCUGGGGUGCACACAUUCUUCUGUGUCCCCCAGGGGAGAGAUGUAUGCUUGCCACAAAUCGGACAUAUUUUUUCCCAACCUGUUUAUUCCAGUUGCACAUGUCACUGCAAUUACAUAAUCUAAUUAAAUAGUGUGAAACCAAUGAAGUAUGAGUACAAAAAGAAGGAUAUUUAUUGUUUCUCUUAAAACUAAGUCCAGGCCAGUCGUGGUGGCUCAUGCCUGUAAUCCUACCACUUUGGGAGGUCAAAGCGGGUGGAUCACCUGAGGGCAGGAGUUCAAGACCAGCCUGGUCAACAUGGUGAAACCUGGUCUCUACUGAGAAUAUAAAAUUAGCCAGGCAUGGUGGCACACGCCUGUAAUCCCAGCUACUUUGGCGGCUGAGGCAGGAGAAUCAUUUGAACCUGGUAGGUAGAGGUCGCAGUGAGCCGAGAUCACACCCCUGUACUCCAGCCUGGGCAACAAGAGUGAAACUCCAUUAAAUAAAUAAAUAAAUAAAUAAAUAAAUAAAUAAAUAAAACCCAAACAAACAAACAAAACAAACAAACGUAAGUUGAAUGCUUUGAAAAGACUGCAAACAGGCAAGUCUUUCAGCAUAUUGCUGUUGAAUUAAGUGUAGGUGAGACAACCGUAUCAUAAAACUCCAGAAGUUUUGGAAUUUUGAUUAUUUCUCAAAUGGCUUUAUUUUCACACUUCACUUUAAAGAAAUCAAAAUGGAAAUCCCAAAUGAUUCAUAGGAGCGGU